CCUACGGGGGGCAGCAGUGAGGAAUAUUGGUCAAUGGACGAGAGUCUGAACCAGCCAAGUAGCGUGAAGGAUGACUGCCCUAUGGGUUGUAAACUUCUUUUAUAUGGGAAUAAAACGUUCCACGUGUGGGAUUUUGUAUGUACCAUAUGAAUAAGGAUCGGCUAACUCCGUGCCAGCAGCCGCGGUAAUACGGAGGGUCCGAGCGUUAUCCGGAUUUAUUGGGUUUAAAGGGAGCGUAGGUGGAUUGUUAAGUCAGUUGUGAAAGUUUGCGGCUCAACCGUAAAAUUGCAGUUGAAACUGGCAGUCUUGAGUACAGUAGAGGUGAGCGGAAUUCGUGGUGUAGCGGUGAAAUGCUUAGAUAUCACGAAGAACUCCGAUUGCGAAGGCAGUUCACUGGACUGCAACUGACACUGAGGCUCGAAAGUGUGGGUAUCAAACAGGAUUAGAUACCCCGGUAGUC
RNAcentral lists this ribosomal RNA (460 nucleotides) under uncultured bacterium. RNAcentral's name for it is "partial 16S ribosomal RNA". It matches the Rfam family "Bacterial small subunit ribosomal RNA", at positions 338 to 795 of the family's 1533-position model. The record is from RNAcentral.